Melitaea cinxia (Glanville fritillary) is the source of this 558-nucleotide long non-coding RNA. RefSeq lists it as uncharacterized. The record is from RefSeq and is a predicted model, not a curated record. The transcript is spliced from 2 exons. NCBI's taxonomy places the organism in Eukaryota, Metazoa, Arthropoda, Insecta, Lepidoptera, Nymphalidae.
UUAAAAUCUUCGAAUAAUUCUCAAACUACCGGCGUUCCCGAUGUUAACGAUUCUAAUAGAAACUGUGAUAUUAAGUUGCCGAUUAUUAAAAUUCCAACCUUUACCGGUAAGUACGAGGAGUGGCAAACGUUUUACGAUUUAUUCUAUUCUCUCAUACAUAACAAUGAAGCUUUGUCACCGGUGCAAAAACUCCAUUAUUUAAAAAGUAAUUUAUCGGGUGAACCUGAAACAAUGUUACGUAAUUUUUCCAUAACUGACGCCAAUUAUGAAGAAGCGUGGUGCCAACUUGUGAAGAGAUAUAAUAACAAGAGGUUUAAUUGCAACGCCAUUUUGAAAAUUCUGUUUACACAAAAGAUGAUUACUGCAGAGUCUGCGAGUCAUAUAAAGCAACUUCUAGACACAACGGUUACCUGUUUAAAAGCGUUAUCGAAUAUGGGAAUAGAUACGCGUUCGUGGGAUAUAAUUAUCAACUAUUUAGUCAUUUCAAAACUGGACUCCGAGUCGAUGCGACAGUGGGAACAACAUGUGCGGACGCCGUCAUCAUUCAAUGAUUCAUGU